GAUCCAUCUCUCCAGGCAGCGGCGAGGAGUUCGCGGCCCUCCCCGCCCCCUACCCUUGGCCGCGGCCCCUGCCCUUGCUGCCCGCGCACGCCUCCCGCAGCCUCUGGCCCCCCAUCUGAAGGACCCCGCUGAGAGUCCCGUCGACUUCUCAAAGUAAAAUGUGUCUGGCGCUGGGAAGCCGCGGAGCGCCCGGCCGGGACUACUUUCCGCUGCGCGGAGGAGUACGGGCGCGCUAAGACUCCAUACAAAGAGGAAACUAAUUGGGGGAAACUCGCUGCGCCCCCGCCUUUCCCAGGGGACGCGGGGCUGGCGGGGGCGGGGGCCGCGGCGCGGGGGACGGGCUUCCCAGGCGGCCGCCUCCCCUGGCGCGAGCUGCGUGGGGACUCGGGUCUGCGGUGCUGCCCGCUAAUUGGGUGGGGGAGGCCGGGGCCCCCGGGGUGGCUUGGGUGCGGGGUGCGCCGCGGCUUCAGAGGCCCAAGGGAGGGUCCCCGUGGGUCCCCGGGGCACAGAGUCCCGGCGUGGGGACGCCCAAGCCGCCUGGGUGGCCGCUGAAAGAUGAAUGAAGGGGCCCAGUCGUCCUGGGGCGGGGGUCCAGGAAGGGUAAAGAGGAAGAAGCUAUUUUCAUCCCAAGCUCUCGGCACGGGAGGAGGGUCAACUUCUUUCGGGGCGAGGGCAGCCACUUUUCCGGACCUGCCGCCCGCCCCGCCUCCCUACUCCCCCCGGCACCCCCACGAGGGAGAACACGGGGUGCGGGCGGGUGGGGUAGGCUGAGGCUAGCCUGAGAGCCGCUGCCUUGGAGAGGGACCACCGGGCAGCCGUACAGCUGUUAGGAGGCUGAGGAGUGUAACUGCCUUGGAGGUCCCGGUGCCCUACCCCCAGCCAACCCUGAAACUACGCGCCCUUCGUAAUUAGACCAGUGGAGGUCUAUACGGAAAAUCUUUUUAAAGCAGGGAAGGCUAUUUUUCUUUUAAGUUACUUCAAACCUGAGCUUAAUUUGGGGACUAGCUCUGGAUAUAAAUAGCUACAGGGAGAAUUUGGGAGUUUUAUGGUUUUAAAGCCUGAGUAAAUAAGCAGGGUUUUGUCUUGAACAUUUUCUGCAGCAUGAACCAUUAUUAACUUUAUUGAAGAGACCACGUUCACUUCUGCCUAAAUGGCCUUUAAGAAACAGGGCUGGGAGCCCUCCUGGUAUAGAAGCCCUUCCCCCACCAAGUUCAGGUGGGGGACUUAGACUUUUAGACUCUCCUCAAAAGUACGUCCCUCUCCUUGGAGUGCCCUGGAUGCUGCAGGUGUGUGCCCCAAUACACCCUGUCAGCUGGCCUGGGCAGGGUACAGAACCGGGGUGGCAUUCCCGGGGCUGGGCCACCGGCUAAGGCCUCUGACUCAUCCGGAGGUGAGCCCUGUGUGAGGAAUGAGGUCCAGAACACGCUGCCCCGCUCGCUUGGUGUCUACAAAGUUCUGCCACGAGACUAGAAGGAUCAACCUACAAGGGCACAAAGGUGAUACUGGGUCAUUAAGGCAAUAGGGAUAGCAGAGCACACAAGGCCGCCCUCUCCACCCACCAGCCCCCAAGGCUGAGGCCAGGCUGGGCUACCAGUAGGGGCGCAGCAGUGGACUUGACAAGCAUUCUUUUUUUUUUUUUUCCAACGAAUAUUAACACUUAAUAUGUGCCGGGCCCUGUUCUAUUUUGUCUGACCCUAAUGCUACACCGAUACUGUAUUGGCCUGAAGCUCUCAGAUUUACCAACCGUAAAAUACAGGAAACAGUACCUACCUCCUGGCCUGAUGGACUGUAAUAGAGUCCAUCCUUCCAGCAUAGGGAACCCCAACGUUAAGGACACUCGCCUUCCCAUCGCUUGGGGAGAGGGCUCCACACACAGCCCUGGGAUUGGGAAUUUGUGAUCCCACACUUCUAACGCAUCCACAAAGCCGGCAGCCCUAUCAUGUUUUUCGGUGAGACUCCCACUCUGAAAGUGAGACCUCAUGCCUGCUCCCCUCUCCUUACACCUCCCACAGCCCCUUCUGCCUGGGCUCCUAGCCCGUGGCCUUACCUCAUUCUUCAGAGAAAAACGAAAGCCUUCAGGAUCUUUCUCCUCUCCCAGUACCCAAACAGACAAACUUCCCUGUCGGGUACUCACGUCCUCCUCAGGCCUAGGACCCCAUCCCGCUGCCCUCCCCUCGAGGCUUUUCUGUGCCAUCAGCCUCACUCUGGACCGACUCCUGCCCCCAAACCCUCUCCUGCCUCUGGCCAUUUCUCCCUCCCUUCAGACAUUUCUGUAGACUUCCCUACACUCACCUCCUCCACCCCUUCCCGUCCCAGCCUCUCAUCACCCCAUCCAGCAGGGCUGUGUCCCCACCCCUUAACUGCUGCUAAGGUAACCUACAACCUCUCCGCUGCCCAAUCCGGGGGUCACUUCUUGGUCUCGCUGAGCUUCUCAGCAGCAGCUGAGUCGACCACUCCUCCUCCUGGAAACCCUCACUUAUCUGGACCUGGGGAUUCCAGUUCACCUGGUCCUGCUACCUCACAGGUCACUCCCCAUCAGUCUCCUCUGCAGCUUUCAACCUGUCAUCGUUGGGAUUCCUCCUUGCCUUUUUCCUUUCAUUAAUUUUUUUUUUAUCCAGAGUCUCACUCUGUCGCCCAGGCUGAGGCAGGAGAAUCACAUGAAUACAGGAGGCGGAGGUUGCAGUGAGCAGAGAUUGCGCCAUUGCACUCCAGCCUGGGCAACGAGCAAAAACUCCGUCUCAAAAAAACAAACAAAAAAAAGAUUAGCUGUGGCUGGAUGCGGUGGCUUACGCCUGUAAUCCCAGCACUUUGGGAGGCCAAAGCGGGCAGAUCACGAGGUCAGAAGAUCAAGGCCAUCCUGGCCAACAUGGUGAACCCCAUCUCUACUAACAAUACAAAAAUUAGCUGGGUAUGGUGGUGCAUUCCUGUAAUCCCAGCUAUGGGGUGGCUGAGGCAGGAUAAUCUCUUGAACCAGGUAGUCGGAAGUUGCAGUGAGCGGAGAUCACGCCACAGCACUCUAGCCUGGCAACAGAGUGAGACUCCGUCUCAAAAAAAAAAAAAAAAAAAAAGAUUAGCCAGGCGCGGUGGUGGGUGCCUGUAAUCUCAGCUACCUGGAGGCUGAGGCAGGAGCAUCACUUGAACCUGGGAGGCAGAGGUUGCAGUGAGCCAAUAUCGCCCCCCAUUGCAGCCUGGGUAACAGAGCGAGACUCCUGUCUCAAAAAAAAAAAAGGCCAAGAAACUCAUGCAAAGAUGCUCAAUGUUAGCCGUCAGGGAAAUGAAAAAACCACAAAGAGAUGCCACUUCUUGCCCACCAGGAUAGCACUCAUCAAAAAGAUGCAGUAACAAGUGCUGGAAGCCACUGCUGGUGGGAAUGUAAAAUGGUGCAGCUGCUUUGGAAAAUAGUCUGGCAGUUUCUCAAGAAGUUAAACAUAGAGUUGCCAUUUGACCCAGAAAUCCCACUCAGAGAUAUAUACCCAAAACAACUGAAAACAUAUGUCCACACAAAAACUUGUGGGCAAAUGUUCAUAGCAGUAUUAUUCAUACUUAAUGUCCCUCAUCUGAUGAAUGUUUAAACAAAGUGUGGUCUAUCCACACUGGAAUAUGGGUCAGCCAUAAAAAGGAUGCUACAACAUGGAUGAAUCCUGAACAGGUUAAAUGAAGAAGCUAGUCACAAAAGACCACAUAGUGUAUGAUUCCAUUUCUAUGAAAUGUCCACAACAGGCAGAAAGCAGAUUAUUGGUUGCUGAGGGAGAGAGGAAUGUGGAGUGACUGCAAAUGGGUACAGGGUUUCUUUCUGAGGUAAUGAGAUGUUCUUUUUGUUGUUGUUUUUUGUUUUUUUGUUUGUAUGAGACGGAGUCCCUGUCGCCAGGCUGGGGUAUAGUGGCGCGAUCUCAGGGUGCAAUCUCGACUCACUGCAACCUCCACUUCCUGGGUUCAAGCGAUCCUCCUGCCUCAGUCUCUCAAGUAGCUGGGAAUACAGGUGCGCACCACCAUGCCCAGCUAAUUUUUUGUAGAGACAGGGUUUCACCAUGUUGGCCAGGAUGGUCUCGAUCUCUUGACCUCGUGAUUCACCUCCCUCAGCUUCCCAAAGUGAUGGGAUUACAACCGUGAGCCACUUCACCCGGCGAGAUGUUCUAACAUUGAUUGUGGUGAUGGUUGCAUGACUCUGGAUAUACUAAAACUGCUGUAUCGGACACUUCUCAUGGGUGAAUUGUAUGGCAUGUACUAUGAAUUAUAUCUCAAGGAAGCUGUUUGGAAAAUAGAGAUAAUUAAAUAACAGAAAGAAUGAGGAGGAAGAAGACACAGAAGAACACAUCAUUCAGGGUCUCCGCGUUUCUGUAGAUUUCGUUUCCUUUGCAUCCUUCAUUUGCCAGGGUGUUGGAGGAGAUGGCCUCCCUGCCAGGACUUGAGACUUCAGGCCUGGCUUUCCACACCCACACCUUUGCUAGGGUGCCAAGGCCAGUGUGGGUGCCCCACCCCGUUCCCACAAGGCCACCCCGAGGAGUCCUCAUCCCCAUGCUCCUGGUGGGUCACGUCCACACUUUACGGUUAUGUCAAUCCUAACUCCAGCCUUGCAGCCAGGGCACCCUCCCGGUCCAGAUGAACAAAUGGAGGCCAGGCUGGGAGCUUGUCAUCGCGAUAAGAUUAUCGAGGGGAAGUGUGAGCCAGGCCCUUUCCUGCCCAGCCGCCCCGCCCUUUCUUUACAUUCCCUUAGGAAUGCUUUUCACUCUGUCUAAGAAGCUUCCCGUGAGGCAUGGGCGGACGGCAGCAGCAGGCCUGGGACCAGUGUGAGGCCUCCCUCAAGGGGCCGCAGGCAUGUGGGAAGACCAGCUCGGGCAGAGCUCAGACCUAGGCUGAAGCAGGUCUCUGCCCAGGAGAGGAGAGGGCCUCCUGCCUAAGCUGGCCUCAAGAUUCCCCACUUUUGGGACCUCUCUUCCCAGGAUUGCCCAGGGGUGAGGCUCCCACCAGGCCACGCGACCCAGAUCAUGCCCCUUGGCCUUCACAGCUCAGCUCGCAGGCCCCCUUCUCCAGGAGCCCUUCUGAACCUCCUGACCGCCUCAGCCCCCUGUCCCAGGCCCUGGUGUCCCCACUCCUGGCACUGAUGACAGUUGUCAUGAGCCAUGCUUAGGGCUACUUGUGUUUCCCUCCCCCCUGCCCCCACCCCGAAUUGUAAGCUCUGCAAGAUAGGGUCUCACUCUUGUGUGUCUGGAAUCCCGUGCCCAGCACAGAGCCUGCCACGCAGCAAGGGCUGCUUCAGUCACCACUGCUGACUUUGUCUUGGGGUCAGGCUGGGACAUUUAAACCAGACCCCAGUAAGAGUGUAGAUAUAUUGGCAGGGAUAUAGAUAAUGAGCAGAGCACUGGCUUCCCAGCAGCCUCGCAGCAGACAGAUACCGGCUACACCAACAUUUAGACCCUCAGAGAAAAGGGUGUUCUUUUCUCUGUCUAGAAACUGCCUUCCAAGAGUGGUUUCCUGGGCUGGGCACAGUGGCUUACACCUGUAAUCCUAGCAUUUUGGGAGGCCGAGUCGGGCGGAUCAGUUGAGGUCAGGAGUUCGGGGUCAGCCUGGCCAACAUGGUAAAGCCCCGUCUCUACUAAAAAUACAAAAAUUAGCCAGGCGUGAUGGUGGGCGCCUGUCUUCCCAGCUACUCAGGAGGCUGAGGCAGGAGAAUCGCUUGAACCCGAGAGGGGGAGGUUGCAAUGAGCCUAGAUCGUGCCACUGUACUCCAGCCUGGCGGACAGAGCAAGACUCCAUCUCAAAAAAAAAAAAAGAAAGGUUUCCUGGCUGAGGACCUACCCCUUGUCCACAAGAGUGACAACUAGCCCUCCCGUCCCCCAGGAUCUUUCAGUAAAAGACAAACCAGGGAACUCUCCCUGGGACAGACAGACAGAUACGGAUGGCCCUAGUGGGCAGGGGUGGGACGUGGAAAGGCUUGCUGGCAUUCAGUCCUGCGGAUGGUCAGGCCUGGCCCAGCUAGAUGGGCCUCCAUUCACCUCUCGUUCACAGAUGAGAGACACAUGGGGCUUUUCCCCAGGACACUGCAAGUACUGGGCCUGUCAAGAGUGACACGAGGGUGCCCUGGGAGGUGGGAUACCUGGGCCGUACUCUUUCCUCUACCAGCUUAGAUACCACGACACCCUUCCAACUGCCAUCCCCUAAUGACAUGACAGCCAGAGAUCAUCUUUGAAACAAGGGCUGGAUCACUUCCUUCCUGGCUUACAACCCCCACCACCCCCCACCCCCACCCCCGGUCCCUACGGGGAUUUCCUGUGGGCCAAGGAUGAAAUUCCAAACACUCCACAGCUGGCCCCAGGCACAUGAGGCAUGGCCCUGCCUCCAGCUCCACUUCGACUCCUGGCCUCAUGUCUCCCCUCCCCUUCACACCCUGCACCUGCCUCAGGGCCUUUGCAUAAGAGCAACAACUAGCCCUCCCCUCCUCCAGGAUCUUUCAGUAAAAGACAAACCGGGGAACCCUCCCUGGAACAGACAGACAGAGAGAUGGAUGGCCCUAGGAGGCAGGGGUGUGACACGGAGAGGCCUGCUGGCAUUCGGCUGUUUCUAGGCCGGGAACACCUUUCCCCCAAUCUUCCCAGGCUUCCUCUGCCUUACCCCACCUACAUGUCACCUCCUCCAGGAGCCUUCUGACCAUCCCAUCCAUGGGAGGUCCCCACCCCUGCCCACUCCGGGGCUGUGCCUCAUUACCAGCCCUGUCUCAGCUGCAGCCCUGGGACUCUUGGUUCUUGUAUCUCUCUCCCUCCCCAGACCCCACCCCGCCCAGGACCUCUUGGUGUUGCCGUCCUGCUUGCACUGCUCCAGUGUUCAGCAGUGCCUGGUCUAGAGGAGAAUGUGUCUCAGAGUCUCCUCUGCUGCGCACACAUCUUGGGGCUCCUGGGAGUGACGCAGGGGAUAGCCGAAGACCCUCUUCUCCUCCAGCCAUCUCCCUCAAUUUCCCCUAGCAUCUGCCUUGCUGGCAGCCCCAUAUCAUGUCUCUCCCUGCACUGGCCUAGCACACGGAGGGGAGAAGGGAGUGCCUGCUUCAUGGACAUGGGUUUCCUGCUGGAACUUCACUGUGGAGAUGGUUGUGCAACAUCGUGAAUGUACUGUAUGUCCCUGAAUUGUACAUUUGAAAAUGAUUUAAAUGGCCAGGCGUGGUGGCUCACACAGCUUUGGGAGGCUGAGGCAAGAGGAUCGCUUGAGCCCAGGAGUUCUGGGCUGUAGUGCGCUAUGCCGAGAGGGUGUCCGCACUAACUUUGGCAUUAAUAUGGUGACUUCCGAGGAGCAGGGGACCACCAUGUUGCUUAAGGAGGGGUGAACCACCACCCCAGGUCGGAAAUGGAGCAGGUCAAAACUCCCAGGCUGAUCAGUAGCGGAAUUGUGCCUGUGAAUAGCCACUGCACUCCAGCCUGGGCAAUACAGCAAGACCCUGUCUCUCUUUUUUCUUUUCUUUUUUUUUUUUUUUGAGACGGAGUCUCACUGUCACCCAGGCUGGAAUGCAGUGGUGCAAUCUCGGCUCACUGCAACCUCCGCCCCCUGGGUUCAAGCAAUUCUCCUGCCUCAGCCUCCCGAGUAGUUGGGAUUACAGGGGUCUGCCACCUCACCCCUAAAAUGUAUGUAAAAAUACAAUACUAAUUAUUGUAUUUUUAGUAGAGUUGGGGUUUCACCAUCUUGACCAGGCUGGUCUUGAACUCCUGACCUUGUGA
This 7700-nucleotide long non-coding RNA is filed under the name Homo sapiens (human). Its description in RNAcentral is "non-protein coding lnc-ANKRD9-4:3". The stretch from base 7142 to 7432 matches the Rfam family "Metazoan signal recognition particle RNA". Lineage: Eukaryota; Metazoa; Chordata; Mammalia; Primates; Hominidae. The record is from RNAcentral.